UACGAGUACCCCAAGCGUUAUCCGGAAUCAUUGGGCGUAAAGGGUGUGUAGGUGGUUCGGUUAGUCUUCUGUCAAAACUUCGGGCUCAACCCGGAACUUGCAGUGGAAACGGCCGAACUAGAGGAUGCGAGAGGUGAAUGGAACUCAUGGAGUAGGGGUGAAAUCCGUUGAUAUCAUGGGGAACACCGAAAGCGAAGGCAAUUCACUGGCGCAUUCCUGACACUGAAACACGAAAGCGUGGGUAGCGAACGGG
Molecule: ribosomal RNA, 253 nt
Filed under: uncultured bacterium
Lineage: Bacteria
Description: partial 16S ribosomal RNA
Rfam family: Bacterial small subunit ribosomal RNA
Source: RNAcentral